RNAcentral lists this ribosomal RNA (207 nucleotides) under uncultured bacterium. RNAcentral's name for it is "partial 16S ribosomal RNA". It matches the Rfam family "Bacterial small subunit ribosomal RNA", at positions 568 to 774 of the family's 1533-position model. The record is from RNAcentral.
CGUGUAGGCGGCCUCGUAUGUCUGACGUGAAAGCCCCGGGCUCACCCCGGGAAGUGCGUUGGAAACUGCGAGACUAGAGUCCCGGAGAGGAAGGUGGAAUUCCAGGUGUAGCGGUGAAAUGCGUAGAUAUCUGGAAGAACACCGGUGGCGAAGGCGGCCUUCUGGACGGUGACUGACGCUGAGACGCGAAAGCGUGGGGAGCAAACA